CUCUCCGGAGGGCGGAAGGAG
This 21-nucleotide non-coding RNA is filed under the name unclassified sequences. The record is from RNAcentral.